This 441-nucleotide ribosomal RNA is filed under the name Actinomyces sp. oral taxon 448. RNAcentral describes it as "bacterial SSU rRNA". It matches the Rfam family "Bacterial small subunit ribosomal RNA", at positions 28 to 450 of the family's 1533-position model. The record is from RNAcentral. Lineage: Bacteria; Bacillati; Actinomycetota; Actinomycetes; Actinomycetales; Actinomycetaceae.
GACGAACGCGGGGGGCGUGCUUAACACAUGCAAGUCGAACGGGCCUGCCUGGCUUUGGUUGGGUGGGUGAGUGGCGAACGGGUGAGUAACACGUGAGUAACCUGCCCUCUUCUCUUGGAUAACUGCUUGAAAGGGCGGCUAAUACGGGAUGUUCUGGCUGCCUCGCAUGGGGUGGUUUGGAAAGAUUCGGCCUGGUUUUGGUUGUUUUGGUGGGGGAUGGGCUCGCGGCUUAUCAGCUUGUUGGUGGGGUGAUGGCUACCAAGGCGGUGACGGGUAGCCGGCCUGAGAGGGUGGACGGUCACACUGGGACUGAGACACGGCCCAGACUCCUACGGGAGGCAGCAGUGGGGGAUUUUGCACAAUGGGCGCAAGCCUGAUGUAGCGACGCCGCGUGAGGGAUGGAGGCCUUCGGGUUGUGAACCUCUGUCGCCGGUGAUGUAG